GGCCGCAUGGCUCAAUGGUUAAGAGCCUGGCAUAGCGUAAGUCGACGAAGCGCCGCUGGAUAGGUUCGAAUCCUAUUGCGACCG
This is a non-coding RNA of Diatrype stigma, 84 nucleotides long. Lineage: Eukaryota; Fungi; Ascomycota; Sordariomycetes; Xylariales; Diatrypaceae. The record is from the annotation of a GenBank genome assembly.